RNAcentral lists this ribosomal RNA (496 nucleotides) under uncultured bacterium. RNAcentral's name for it is "partial 16S ribosomal RNA". It matches the Rfam family "Bacterial small subunit ribosomal RNA", at positions 30 to 523 of the family's 1533-position model. The record is from RNAcentral.
AUUGAACGCUGGCGGAAUGCUUUACACUUGCAAGUCGAACGGUAGAGGGGGCAACCCCUCGAGAGCGGCGAACGGGUGAGUAAUAUAUCGGAACGUGCCCAGUCGUGGGGGAUAACGUAGCGAAAGUUACGCUAAUACCGCAUACGAUCUAAGGAUGAAAGCGGGGGAUCGCAAGACCUCGCGCGAUUGGAGCGGCCGAUAUCAGAUUAGGUAGUUGGUGGGGUAAAGGCUCACCAAGCCAACGAUCUGUAGCUGGUCUGAGAGGACGACCAGCCACACUGGAACUGAGACACGGUCCAGACUCCUACGGGGGGCAGCAGUGGGGAAUUUUGGACAAUGGACGCAAGUCUGAUCCAGCCAUUCCGCGUGCAGGAUGAAGGCCCUCGGGUUGUAAACUGCUUUUGUACGGAACGAAAAGGUCUCUCUUAAUACGGGGGGCUCAUGACGGUACCGUAAGAAUAAGCACCGGCUAACUACGUGCCAGCCGCCGCGGUAA